This 395-nucleotide long non-coding RNA is filed under the name Musa acuminata (dwarf banana). Its description in RNAcentral is "long non-coding RNA (MACU_LNC008782)". The record is from RNAcentral. Lineage: Eukaryota; Viridiplantae; Streptophyta; Magnoliopsida; Zingiberales; Musaceae.
UAGGGUCUAUUCUCAUGCCUACCGGAGUUCUCAAGGGCAGGGGACAGGGUAAGUUCAGAACAAGCUUAGGCGCUAAGAUCAGAGAUUGGUGCUCUAGCUCUAAGAAUUCUCUAGUAAAGUAUUACUUAUAAGCUGUUCGAGGAACUAUUGAGGUUAACCAAUUGAUAAGAAAAUCACCAAAACAUGAAAAAAAGAGAACAACUUGAGAAACUCUGAUUGGAAAGCUUAACUAAGAUUUGAAAGAAUGGGGUUUUCUACUUUAACACAGGACUGGCUUUGAAGCGAGGUGUACUAAACUUGACUAAUAGGUAUACUAGGGUCUCUGUAUUGGGAGUGAGAGUGAAACCAGAAGCUAUAGAAGGAAAAGAGGAAAUAAUAAACUCGAGUGAAAGAGU